GUUGCAGGCGACGAUGCAGAGGGCUGUAAGUGUGGUGGCCCAUCUGGGCUCUCGCCUGCAGGCAUUCUCCCCGGCCUUGUGUCGUCCAUUUAGUUGCGCACAGGUGGGAUAGAGGGUGCUGGUCUUGGAGGGUGGGGGAGGGAAGCGGCUGGGGGCUAGGGCCCUGGUGGCACUAAGCCCAGCCGCCCGCAGGAGGUGCUCCGCCGGACACCGCUGUAUGACUUCCACCUGGCCCACGGCGGGAAAAUGGUGGCGUUUGCGGGUUGGAGUCUGCCAGUGCAGUACCGGGACAGUCACACUGACUCGCACCUGCACACACGCCAGCACUGCUCGCUCUUUGACGUGUCUCAUAUGCUGCAGACCAAGAUACUUGGUAGUGACCGGGUGAAGCUGAUGGAGAGUCUAGUGGUUGGAGACAUUGCAGAGCUAAGACCAAACCAGGGGACACUGUCGCUGUUUACCAACGAGGCUGGAGGCAUCUUAGAUGACUUGAUUGUAACCAGUACUUCUGAGGGCCACCUGUAUGUGGUGUCCAACGCUGGCUGCUGGGAGAAAGAUUUGGCCCUCAUGCAGGACAAGGUCAGGGAGCUUCAGAACCAGGGCAGAGAUGUGGGCCUGGAGGUGUUGGAUAAUGCCCUGCUAGCUCUGCAAGGCCCCACUGCAGCCCAGGUACUACAGGCCGGCGUGGCAGAUGACCUGAGGAAACUGCCCUUCAUGACCAGUGCUGUGAUGGAGGUGUUUGGCGUGUCUGGCUGCCGUGUGACCCGCUGUGGCUACACAGGAGAGGAUGGUGUGGAGGUGUGUCAAGAAGUGGUGUAGGGGGCAGUACAGGGCACAAGAUGCAUGUGAGGGGUUGGGGGUAUGUGGUACAGGGAGCUUCCCAUCUGCCCUCUGGUGUUUCAUACAGAUCUCGGUGCCGGUAGCGGGGGCAGUUCACCUGGCAACAGCUCUUCUGAAAAACCCAGAGGUGAAGCUGGCAGGGCUGGCAGCCAGGGACAGCCUGCGCCUGGAGGCAGGCCUCUGCCUGUACGGGAAUGACAUUGAUGAACACACUACACCUGUGGAGGGCAGCCUCAGUUGGACACUGGGGAAGCGCCGCCGAGCUGCUAUGGACUUCCCUGGAGCCAAAGUCAUUGUUCCCCAGCUGAAGGGCAAGGUGCAGCGGAGGCGUGUGGGGUUGAUGUGUGAGGGGGCCCCCAUGCGGGCACACAGUCCCAUCCUGAACAUGGAGGGUACCAAGAUUGGUACUGUGACUAGUGGCUGCCCCUCGCCCUCUCUGAAGAAGAAUGUGGCGAUGGGUUAUGUGCCCUGCGAGUACAGUCGUCCAGGGACAAUGCUGCUGGUAGAGGUGCGGCGGAAGCAGCAGAUGGCUGUAGUCAGCAAGAUGCCCUUUGUGCCCACAAACUACUAUACCCUCAAGUGAAGCUGGCUCAGGGUGGGGCUGUCCCUUCCAGAAGUUUUGCCCCUACAAGGGGUUAGUCAAGAAGCUGAGGCAGAACUCACUGGGGGUGGGCAGUUAAGGUGGAGGCUGAUUCUAAUUGUCUGGCUGAGGGGCCACACCACCUAUUCCCCCCACCUAACUCAUGCCACUCCAGCUUCCUUCAGGACCCUGCUUCUGAGUGACGGACCAGCUCACACAAUGUCUUGUUUCAGUCCAUGAUCCCACUGACCUACUCUUGCCUGCUGGAGGGUAAUGAGAAGCUUUGGUUCUGCCAUCUCUCCCACUCUGCCAGGUGCUGGCUGUGGAGCAAAGGCUCACCUUUGUGGGGAGGAUAAAACCUGCCCAACCUACCUCACCAUGGUUUUUCACAUUGCAAACGGUAAUAACAUGGGCAGUGUGGACUUAGGCUACCCCCUCCAGUUUGCUUUCCGUAAAUGCAAAUUGUCCCUACUGCAAGUCAGGAAUGAUUGCCGACUCACAGUAGGGCUGCUAUGCCUGUGUGUAAACUUGGGGAUGGCUGAGGGAACACAGACUCACUCUUCCGCAUUCCCAAGUUGGUCUAGUGUGCUGCCCAGUAGCAAACCAUGGCAGGCUCACCACCUAUUCUGAGCUCCAGGGCUGUUGUAGGGCAGGGUGGGCUUCCUCCCAGACUUGCCUUACCCUGGGCUGAUCUUUGCCCCUGGUAUGCAUUAAUGGACUCCACUGAAUCCUGAAAAAAAAUUAAACU
Molecule: small RNA, 2168 nt
Filed under: Pongo abelii (Sumatran orangutan)
Lineage: Eukaryota; Metazoa; Chordata; Mammalia; Primates; Hominidae
Description: retained intron
Source: RNAcentral